This 330-nucleotide ribosomal RNA is filed under the name uncultured bacterium. RNAcentral's name for it is "bacterial SSU rRNA". It matches the Rfam family "Bacterial small subunit ribosomal RNA", at positions 1 to 334 of the family's 1533-position model. The record is from RNAcentral.
CUACGUAGCUCAGAGUUUGAUCCUGGCUCAGGACGAACGCUGGCGGCGUGCCUAACACAUGCAAGUCGAACGGAGCUCCUUCGGGGGCUUAGUGGCGAACGGGUGAGUAACGCGUGAGAAACCUGCCUUUCAGUGUGGGAUAGCGGUUGGAAACGACCGGUAAUACCGCAUAAUGUAUUUUAGGGGCAUCCCUUUAAUACCAAAGAUUUAUUGCUGAAAGAUGGUCUCGCGUCUGAUUAGCUAGAUGGCGGGGUAACGGCCCACCAUGGCGACGAUCAGUAGCCGGUCUGAGAGGAUGAACGGCCACAUUGGGACUGAGAUACGGCCCAG